UACGUAGGGUGCAAGCGUUGUCCGGAAUUAUUGGGCGUAAAGAGCUCGUAGGCGGUCUGUCGCGUCGGCUGUGAAAACCCGGGGCUCAACCCCGGGCCUGCAGUCGAUACGGGCAGACUAGAGUGCGGUAGGGGAGACUGGAAUUCCUGGUGUAGCGGUGAAAUGCGCAGAUAUCAGGAGGAACACCAGUGGCGAAGGCGCCACUCUGGGCCGUAACUGACGCUGAGGAGCGAAAGCGUGGGUAGCAAACAGG
This 253-nucleotide ribosomal RNA is filed under the name uncultured bacterium. RNAcentral describes it as "partial 16S ribosomal RNA". It matches the Rfam family "Bacterial small subunit ribosomal RNA", at positions 524 to 776 of the family's 1533-position model. The record is from RNAcentral.